GAUGAACGCUGGCGGCGUGCCUAAUACAUGCAAGUCGAGCGAACGGACGAGAAGCUUGCUUCUCUGGUGUUAGCGGCGGACGGGUGAGUAACACGUGGAUAACCUACCUAUAAGACUGGGAUAACUUCGGGAAACCGGAGCUAAUACCGGAUAAUAUUUUGAACCGCAUGGUUCAAAAGUGAAAGACGGUCUUGCUGUCACUUAUAGAUGGAUCCGCGCUGCAUUAGCUAGUUGGUAAGGUAACGGCUUACCAAGGCAACGAUGCAUAGCCGACCUGAGAGGGUGAUCGGCCACACUGGAACUGAGACACGGUCCAGACUCCUACGGGAGGCAGCAGUAGGGAAUCUGACGCAAUAGGCGAAAGCCUGACGGAGCAACGCCGCGUGAGUGAUGAAGGUCUUCGGAUCGUAAAACUCUGUUAUUAGGGAAGAACAUAUGUGUAAGUAACUGUGCACAUAUUGACGGUACCUAAUCAGAAAGCCACGGCUAACUACGUG
This 497-nucleotide ribosomal RNA is filed under the name uncultured bacterium. RNAcentral describes it as "partial 16S ribosomal RNA". It matches the Rfam family "Bacterial small subunit ribosomal RNA", at positions 28 to 507 of the family's 1533-position model. The record is from RNAcentral.